Molecule: transfer RNA, 66 nt
Filed under: Aphthona lutescens
Lineage: Eukaryota; Metazoa; Arthropoda; Insecta; Coleoptera; Chrysomelidae
Description: tRNA-Ser
Source: RNAcentral
GAAAUAAUGAAUCAAAGUAUAAGCUUCUAACUUAAACCUUAAGCGUUGAAAUACGUUUUUAUUUCU